This 459-nucleotide ribosomal RNA is filed under the name uncultured bacterium. Its description in RNAcentral is "bacterial SSU rRNA". It matches the Rfam family "Bacterial small subunit ribosomal RNA", at positions 342 to 793 of the family's 1533-position model. The record is from RNAcentral.
GAGGAGGCAGCAGUGGGGAAUCUUGCGCAAUGGGCGAAAGCCUGACGCAGCAACGCCGCGUGAGGGAAGAAGGCCUUAGGGUUGUAAACCUCUUUCAGAUGGGACGAAGCUUCCAGGGUGAAUAGCCCUGUGGAGUGACGGUACCUUCAGAAGAAGCCCCGGCUAACUACGUGCCAGCAGCCGCGGUAAUACGUAGGGGGCAAGCGUUGUCCGGAAUCAUUGGGCGUAAAGAGCGUGUAGGCGGCUUGGAAAGUCUGGUGUGAAAUCUUGCGGCUCAACCGCAAACGUGCACUGGAUACUGUCAAGCUUGAGUCCGGAAGAGGAGUGUGGAAUUCCUGGUGUAGCGGUGGAAUGCGCAGAUAUCAGGAGGAACACCUAUGGCGAAGGCAGCACUCUGGUACGUGACUGACGCUGAGACGCGAAAGCGUGGGGAGCAAACAGGAUUAGAUACCCUGGUAC